This 484-nucleotide ribosomal RNA is filed under the name uncultured bacterium. Its description in RNAcentral is "partial 16S ribosomal RNA". It matches the Rfam family "Bacterial small subunit ribosomal RNA", at positions 30 to 507 of the family's 1533-position model. The record is from RNAcentral.
AUUGAACGCUGGCGGCAGGCCUAACACAUGCAAGUCGAGCGGAAGAAGGGAGCUUGCUCCUGGAUUCAGCGGCGGACGGGUGAGUAAUGCCUAGGAAUCUGCCUGGUAGUGGGGGAUAACGUCCGGAAACGGGCGCUAAUACCGCAUACGUCCUGAGGGAGAAAGUGGGGGAUCUUCGGACCUCACGCUAUCAGAUGAGCCUAGGUCGGAUUAGCUAGUUGGUGGGGUAAAGGCCUACCAAGGCGACGAUCCGUAACUGGUCUGAGAGGAUGAUCAGUCACACUGGAACUGAGACACGGUCCAGACUCCUACGGGAGGCAGCAGUGGGGAAUAUUGGACAAUGGGCGAAAGCCUGAUCCAGCCAUGCCGCGUGUGUGAAGAAGGUCUUCGGAUUGUAAAGCCCUUUAAGUUGGGAGGAAGGGCAGUAAGUUAAUACCCUGCUGUUUUGACGUUACCAACAGAAUAAGCACCGGCUAACUUCGUG